AACUGAGCUAGUUUCAUUUGUUCCUAUCCUCUAGUCUCUUCAACAACCAUUAAAAAAAAAAAAACUCUUAUUGUGUUCAAAUUUAUAAGAGUUUAUACUUCUCUUUCUUUUACUUGUUUCUCAUUGAGAGAGUGAGGAAACAAACAAGUGAAAGUGAAGUAGCCAUGGGAAGAAAACUUGAUGCUUUACUAGGAAGAAACUUUAAAACUAGUAAAUUUAAGGCCACUGCAAAUUUAGCCAUUUCCAGGGUUACUGUACUCAAGAACCAACGCCAAGCACGGUGCUCGAUCGCGCGGUCUGAUGUAGUUCAGCUCUUAAACCUUGGGUACCAUGAAAGAGCUCUUCUAAGGGUUGAGCAAGUAAUCAAGGAACAAAAUAUGUUGGAUGUGUUUGACAUGGUAGAAGGCUAUUGUCUUCUCACUAUUGAAAGAAUCAACCUUAUUCAACAAGAGAAAAUAUGUCCUGAGGAAUUGAAGGAGGCGAUAUCGAGCUUGAUUUUUGCAGCUUCAAGGUGUGGUGAAUUCCCAGAACUUCAAGAGCUUCGAGGUAUCUUCACAUCAAGAUUUGGGAAAGAAUUCGCUGCUCGUGCUGUUGAGUUAAGAAACAAUUGUGGAGUAAAUACUAAGAUGAUACAAAAGCUGUCAACAAGGAUGCCUAGCUUAGAACAAAGAACCAAAGUGCUUAAGGAAAUUGCUGCAGAGAAUAACAUUGUUUUGAAAAUUGAGGAAAUAAUGUUGGAAAAUACAGAGGAGAAGGAGGUCACCGCGAAAAGGAAGGACGAGCCUGAAGAUCACGAAUCAGUUUUGCCUCAAGAUGUAGACCAUGAAGCUAGGAGAAAAUUUAAAGAUGUAGAAGCUGCAGCUCAAGCAGCUUUUGAGUCUGCUGCUUAUGCAGCAGCAGCUGCAAGAGCAGCUGUGGAACUCUCUCGGUCUGAAUCACGUGAUACAGAUGACCCCAAGAGUCCGAGUCAAAAGCCAAGGGAUGUAUCGGACUCUCGUGAGGAUUUGAAAUCUGAGUUUCAUGCAGGAGAGGAGAAGAAUAAUGAGGGAGUUGAGAAAAUCGAGACUAGUCAGAACUAUGGUUUUCAUUCUGAAGUCGAUCAAUUCUCAGAUGGAGAUGAAGUGGAAGAAGUCGAACAGAAGAAGUUUGAAAAACAGUUCAAGAGAUCAGUCUCGGUUUCAAGUUCUGAUAUUUCAGCAGACGACAUUCUUGUUGAUGAGGUGAAAAGUCCCAGACAUGGUGUAAUUUAUGAUGAAAUAGAUGAAGAAGUUGGGGAGGAAAACAGAAUCCCGUCAUUAAAACAUCCUAAGAAUGAAGUUUUUGGUUCUCCGGUGCACCAAGCAGCAAAUGAGAAGGAGAUUGAAGGAUUUACAAAGCAAGGUGCAGAAAAACUAGACAUAAAUAAGAAGCCAAUAUCAAUGAGAACUAGGAAGAACUAUCACUGGUGAACCAAGAAUGGGUAGAUGUUAAAGAAAAGGAGAUCAAAAGGAUUCGUAAAGCAAGGUACAGAAAACCUAUACAUAAAUAAGAAGCCAAUAUCGAUGAGAACUAGAAAAAACUAUCACUAGAGACCAAGGAUGAAUAACUGUUUUGCUGAGAUUUUGCCAGUUGGUGCAUAUAUUGUGCUUAGUCAAUAUAUCAUAGCUGCAUAUUUUCUUUAUCUUUGGAGAUUUUGUGAGUUUGCGGAUAUAUUUUGAUGCUUUUGUCAAUAUAAUGUAGCUUCAUAUUCUGUUUGUUUGAUUAUAAGCUCUAGACAGAAGCUGUGAUAUUUUAUAAUAAUCAAAGCUACAUCCAG
This 1795-nucleotide unclassified non-coding RNA is filed under the name Hevea brasiliensis (rubber tree). The record is from RNAcentral. Lineage: Eukaryota; Viridiplantae; Streptophyta; Magnoliopsida; Malpighiales; Euphorbiaceae.